RNAcentral lists this ribosomal RNA (2789 nucleotides) under Salmonella enterica subsp. enterica serovar Infantis str. CVM 23697. RNAcentral describes it as "bacterial LSU rRNA". It matches the Rfam family "Bacterial large subunit ribosomal RNA". Lineage: Bacteria; Pseudomonadati; Pseudomonadota; Gammaproteobacteria; Enterobacterales; Enterobacteriaceae. The record is from RNAcentral.
GGGUUGUGAGGUUAAGCGACUAAGCGUACACGGUGGAUGCCCUGGCAGUCAGAGGCGAUGAAGGGCGUGCUAAUCUGCGAUAAGCGCCGGUAAGGUGAUAUGAACCGUUAUAACCGGCGAUACCCGAAUGGGGAAACCCAGUGUGACUCGUCACACUAUCAUUAACUGAAUCCAUAGGUUAAUGAGGCGAACCGGGGGAACUGAAACAUCUAAGUACCCCGAGGAAAAGAAAUCAACCGAGAUUCCCCCAGUAGCGGCGAGCGAACGGGGAGGAGCCCAGAGCCUGAAUCAGCAUGUGUGUUAGUGGAAGCGUCUGGAAAGGCGCGCGAUACAGGGUGACAGCCCCGUACACAAAAGCGCAUGUGCUGUGAGCUCGAUGAGUAGGGCGGGACACGUGGUAUCCUGUCUGAAUAUGGGGGGACCAUCCUCCAAGGCUAAAUACUCCUGACUGACCGAUAGUGAACCAGUACCGUGAGGGAAAGGCGAAAAGAACCCCGGCGAGGGGAGUGAAAAAGAACCUGAAACCGUGUACGUACAAGCAGUGGGAGCNNGUGACUGCGUACCUUUUGUAUAAUGGGUCAGCGACUUAUAUUCUGUAGCAAGGUUAACCGAAUAGGGGAGCCGGAGGGAAACCGAGUCUUAAUUGGGCGUUAAGUUGCAGGGUAUAGACCCGAAACCCGGUGAUCUAGCCAUGGGCAGGUUGAAGGUUGGGUAACACUAACUGGAGGACCGAACCGACUAAUGUUGAAAAAUUAGCGGAUGACCUGUGGCUGGGGGUGAAAGGCCAAUCAAACCGGGAGAUAGCUGGUUCUCCCCGAAAGCUAUUUAGGUAGCGCCUCGUGAAUUCAUCUCCGGGGGUAGAGCACUGUUUCGGCUAGGGGGCCAUCCCGGCUUACCAACCCGAUGCAAACUGCGAAUACCGGAGAAUGUUAUCACGGGAGACACACGGCGGGUGCUAACGUCCGUCGUGAAGAGGGAAACAACCCAGACCGCCAGCUAAGGUCCCAAAGUCAUGGUUAAGUGGGAAACGAUGUGGGAAGGCCCAGACAGCCAGGAUGUUGGCUUAGAAGCAGCCAUCAUUUAAAGAAAGCGUAAUAGCUCACUGGUCGAGUCGGCCUGCGCGGAAGAUGUAACGGGGCUAAACCAUGCACCGAAGCUGCGGCAGCGANNGUUGGGUAGGGGAGCGUUCUGUAAGCCUGCGAAGGUGGCCUGUGAGGGUUGCUGGAGGUAUCAGAAGUGCGAAUGCUGACAUAAGUAACGAUAAAGCGGGUGAAAAGCCCGCUCGCCGGAAGACCAAGGGUUCCUGUCCAACGUUAAUCGGGGCAGGGUGAGUCGACCCCUAAGGCGAGGCCGAAAGGCGUAGUCGAUGGGAAACGGGUUAAUAUUCCCGUACUUGGUGUUACUGCGAAGGGGGGACGGAGAAGGCUAUGUUGGCCGGGCGACGGUUGUCCCGGUUUAAGCGUGUAGGUGUGUGUUCCAGGUAAAUCCGGUUCACUUUAACACUGAGGCGUGAUGACGAGGCACUACGGUGCUGAAGCAACAAAUGCCCUGCUUCCAGGAAAAGCCUCUAAGCAUCAGGUAACAUCAAAUCGUACCCCAAACCGACACAGGUGGUCAGGUAGAGAAUACCAAGGCGCUUGAGAGAACUCGGGUGAAGGAACUAGGCAAAAUGGUGCCGUAACUUCGGGAGAAGGCACGCUGACACGUAGGUGAAGUGAUUUACUCAUGGAGCUGAAGUCAGUCGAAGAUACCAGCUGGCUGCAACUGUUUAUUAAAAACACAGCACUGUGCAAACACGAAAGUGGACGUAUACGGUGUGACGCCUGCCCGGUGCCGGAAGGUUAAUUGAUGGGGUCAGCGCAAGCGAAGCUCCUGAUCGAAGCCCCGGUAAACGGCGGCCGUAACUAUAACGGUCCUAAGGUAGCGAAAUUCCUUGUCGGGUAAGUUCCGACCUGCACGAAUGGCGUAAUGAUGGCCAGGCUGUCUCCACCCGAGACUCAGUGAAAUUGAACUCGCUGUGAAGAUGCAGUGUACCCGCGGCAAGACGGAAAGACCCCGUGAACCUUUACUAUAGCUUGACACUGAACAUUGAGCCUUGAUGUGUAGGAUAGGUGGGAGGCUUUGAAGCGUGGACGCCAGUCUGCGUGGAGCCGACCUUGAAAUACCACCCUUUAAUGUUUGAUGUUCUAACGUGGACCCGUGAUCCGGGUUGCGGACAGUGUCUGGUGGGUAGUUUGACUGGGGCGGUCUCCUCCUAAAGAGUAACGGAGGAGCACGAAGGUUGGCUAAUCCUGGUCGGACAUCAGGAGGUUAGUGCAAUGGCAUAAGCCAGCUUGACUGCGAGCGUGACGGCGCGAGCAGGUGCGAAAGCAGGUCAUAGUGAUCCGGUGGUUCUGAAUGGAAGGGCCAUCGCUCAACGGAUAAAAGGUACUCCGGGGAUAACAGGCUGAUACCGCCCAAGAGUUCAUAUCGACGGCGGUGUUUGGCACCUCGAUGUCGGCUCAUCACAUCCUGGGGCUGAAGUAGGUCCCAAGGGUAUGGCUGUUCGCCAUUUAAAGUGGUACGCGAGCUGGGUUUAGAACGUCGUGAGACAGUUCGGUCCCUAUCUGCCGUGGGCGCUGGAGAACUGAGGGGGGCUGCUCCUAGUACGAGAGGACCGGAGUGGACGCAUCACUGGUGUUCGGGUUGUCAUGCCAAUGGCACUGCCCGGUAGCUAAAUGCGGAAGAGAUAAGUGCUGAAAGCAUCUAAGCACGAAACUUGCCCCGAGAUGAGUUCUCCCUGAGACUUA